AGAGUUUGAUCAUGGCUCAGAGUGAACGCUGGCGGCGUGCCUAACACAUGCAAGUCGAACGAGAACGGAUCUAGCUUGCUAGAUUGUCAGCUAAGUGGCGCACGGGUGAGUAAUGUAUAGCUAACAUGCCUCUUAGUAGGGAAUAACAGUUAGAAAUGACUGCUAAUACCCUAUACUCCUUUAUAAUGGGAAUUAUAAAGGGAAAGAUUUAUCGCUAAGAGAUUGGACUAUAUGAUAUCAGAUUGUUGGUGAGGUAAAAGCUCACCAAGUCUAUGACGUCUAACUGGUUUGAGAGGAUGAUCAGUCACACUGGAACUGAGACACGGUCCAGACUCCUACGGGAGGCAGCAGUGGGGAAUAUUGCACAAUGGAGGAAACUCUGAUGCAGCAACGCCGCGUGGGGGAUGAAGGUUUUCGAAUCGUAAACUCCUUUUAUAUUAGAAGAUAAUGACGGUAUAAUAUGAAUAAGCACCGGCUAACUCCGUGCCAGCAGCCGCGGUAACACGGGGGGUGCAAGCGUUACUCGGAAUUACUGGGCGUAAAGGGUGUGUAGGCGUCCUAUUAAGUCAAAUGUGAAAUCCUAUGGCUUAACCAUAGAACUGCAUUUGAAACUAAUAGGAUAGAGUUCAGGAGGGGUAAGUGGAAUUAGUGGUGUAGGGGUAAAAUCCGUAGAUAUCACUAGGAAUACCAAAAGCGAAGGCGACUUACUGGAAUGAUACUGACGCUGAGACACGAAAGCGUGGGGAGCAAACGGGAUUAGAUACCCCGGUAGUCCACGCCCUAAACGAUGAAUGCUAGUCGUUGUGAUGCUCUGACAUUGCAGUGAUGCAGCUAACGCAUUAAGCAUUCCGCCUGGGGAGUACGGUCGCAAGAUUAAAACUCAAAAGAAUAGACGGGGACCUGCACAAGCGGUGGAGCAUGUGGUUUAAUUCGAAGAUACGCGAAGAACCUUACCUGGCCUUGACAUAUGAUUGAAUCUGAUAGUAGUUACUAUCUGGAGUGCGUCAGUUUAGCUAGAGCUUGAAAACAGGUGCUGCACGGCUGUCGUCAGCUCGUGUCGUGAGAUGUUGGGUUAAGUCCCGUAACGAGCGCAACCCUUAUCAUUAGUUACUAACAGUUAGGCUGAGAACUCUAAUGAGACUGCCCUCGCAAGGGGGAGGAAGGUGAGGACGACGUCAAGUCAUCAUGGCCCUUACGGCCAGGGCUACACACGUGCUACAAUGGAAUGGUUAUAGAAGGAUGCAAUACCGCGAGGUGGAGCCAAUCCCUAAAACAUUUCUCAGUUCGGAUUGCUCUCUGCAACUCGAGAGCAUGAAGUUGGAAUCGCUAGUAAUCGCGGAUCAGCAAUGCCGCGGUGAAUACUGUUCUCAGGUCUUGUACUCACCGCCCGUCACACCAUGGGAGUUGAUUUCGCCUGAAGCUGGAAUACUAAAUUGGUUACCAUCUAUGGUGGAAUUAGCGACUGGGGUGAAGUCGUAACAAGGUAAC
Molecule: ribosomal RNA, 1488 nt
Filed under: uncultured Campylobacterota bacterium
Lineage: Bacteria; Pseudomonadati; Campylobacterota
Description: bacterial SSU rRNA
Rfam family: Bacterial small subunit ribosomal RNA
Source: RNAcentral